RNAcentral lists this ribosomal RNA (472 nucleotides) under Globorotalia hirsuta. Its description in RNAcentral is "bacterial SSU rRNA". It matches the Rfam family "Eukaryotic small subunit ribosomal RNA", at positions 1203 to 1470 of the family's 1831-position model. Lineage: Eukaryota; Foraminifera; Rotaliida; Globorotaliidae. The record is from RNAcentral.
ACGCGGGGAAUCUUACCGGGUCCGGACACACUGAGGAUUGACAGGCAAAUCUAAUAGAGUCUUUCUUAUUUCUAAUAAGAAUAGAUUUCUAUUUGUUAUAAAGAUGCUAGUCCUUUCAUGAUUAUGUGAUAGGUGGUGCAUGGCCGUUCUUAGUUCGUGGAGUGAUCUGUCUGCUUAAUUGCGUUUCACUAAGGUCCCAGUAAUCUAAGGUAUGCUCGUCUACUUAUCUCAUAUGACGCUGAUAGACCCCUCGUAAGAGCGCGUUGUCUAUUGCGUUAAUAUAUGUAACAAGUGACACAUACUGUUGGGAUCUGAAAGCAACGAACGUGACCGCAACGUCUUGUUGCCUUUCUAAUUUAUUCUAAUUCUUUUGUAAUUAGUUUAAUAACAAAGGCUAUUCUUUAAACUAGACGGACCGCUGUUUCUCUUUUAAACCAGAGGAAGGUUGCGGCAAUAACAGGUCUUGUGAUGC